Molecule: ribosomal RNA, 651 nt
Filed under: uncultured bacterium
Lineage: Bacteria
Description: bacterial SSU rRNA
Rfam family: Bacterial small subunit ribosomal RNA
Source: RNAcentral
AUGGGCGCAAGCCUGAUGCAGCGACGCCGCGUGCGGGAUGACGGCCUUCGGGUUGUAAACCGCUUUUGACUGGGAGCAAGCCCUUCGGGGUGAGUGUACCUUUCGAAUAAGCACCGGCUAACUACGUGCCAGCAGCCGCGGUAAUACGUAGGGUGCAAGCGUUAUCCGGAAUUAUUGGGCGUAAAGGGCUCGUAGGCGGUUCGUCGCGUCCGGUGUGAAAGUCCAUCGCUUAACGGUGGAUCCGCGCCGGGUACGGGCGGGCUUGAGUACGGUAGGGGAGACUGGAAUUCCCGGUGUAACGGUGGAAUGUGUAGAUAUCGGGAAGAACACCAAUGGCGAAGGCAGGUCUCUGGGCCGUCACUGACGCUGAGGAGCGAAAGCGUGGGGAGCGAACAGGAUUAGAUACCCUGGUAGUCCACGCCGUAAACGGUGGAUGCUGGAUGUGGGGACCAUUCCACGGUCUCCGUGUCGGAGCCAACGCGUUAAGCAUCCCGCCUGGGGAGUACGGCCGCAAGGCUAAAACUCAAAGAAAUUGACGGGGGCCCGCACAAGCGGCGGAGCAUGCGGAUUAAUUCGAUGCAACGCGAAGAACCUUACCUGGGCUUGACAUGUUCCCGACAGCCGUAGAGAUACGGUCUCCCUUCGGGGCGG